RNAcentral lists this ribosomal RNA (1365 nucleotides) under uncultured bacterium. Its description in RNAcentral is "bacterial SSU rRNA". It matches the Rfam family "Bacterial small subunit ribosomal RNA", at positions 28 to 1394 of the family's 1533-position model. The record is from RNAcentral.
AUUGAACGCUGGCGGCAUGCCUUACACAUGCAAGUCGAACGGCAGCGCGUCCUUCGGGAUGGCGGCGAGUGGCGAACGGGUGAGUAGAGCAUCGGAACGUGCCCGGUAGUGCGGGAUAGCUCGGCGAAAGCCGGAUUAAUACCGCAUGAGAUCCGAGGAUGAAAGCAGGGGAUCGCAAGACCUUGCGCUACUGGAGCGGCCGAUGUCAGAUUAGGUAGUUGGUGGGGUAAAGGCUCACCAAGCCUGCGAUCUGUAGCUGGUCUGAGAGGAUGAUCAGCCACAUCGGGACUGAGACACGGCCCGAACUCCUACGGGAGGCAGCAGUGGGGAAUUUUGGACAAUGGGCGCAAGCCUGAUCCAGCCAUGCCGCGUGCAGGAUGAAGGCCCUCGGGUUGUAAACUGCUUUUGUACGGAACGAAAGGCCUCCUUCGAAUAAAGGGGGGAGAUGACGGUACCGUAAGAAUAAGCACCGGCUAACUACGUGCCAGCAGCCGCGGUAAUACGUAGGGUGCGAGCGUUAAUCGGAAUUACUGGGCGUAAAGCGUGCGCAGGCGGUUUUGCAAGACAGUGGUGAAAUCCCCGGGCUCAACCUGGGAACUGCCAUUGUGACUGCAAGGCUGGAGUACGGCAGAGGGGGAUGGAAUUCCGCGUGUAGCAGUGAAAUGCGUAGAUAUGCGGAGGAACACCGAUGGCGAAGGCAGUCCCCUGGGCCUGUACUGACGCUCAUGCGCGAAAGCGUGGGGAGCAAACAGGAUUAGAUACCCUGGUAGUCCACGCCCUAAACGAUGUCAACUGGUUGUUGGGGAUUUAUUUCUUCAGUAACGAAGCUAACGCGUGAAGUUGACCGCCUGGGGAGUACGGCCGCAAGGUUAAAACUCAAAGGAAUUGACGGGGACCCGCACAAGCGGUGGAUGAUGUGGUUUAAUUCGAUGCAACGCGAAAAACCUUACCCACCUUUGACAUGUAUGGAAUCCUGAAGAGAUUUGGGAGUGCUCGCAAGAGAGCCAUAACACAGGUGCUGCAUGGCUGUCGUCAGCUCGUGUCGUGAGAUGUUGGGUUAAGUCCCGCAACGAGCGCAACCCUUGCCAUCAGUUGCUACGAAAGGACACUCUGAUGGGACUGCCGGUGACAAACCGGAGGAAGGUGGGGAUGACGUCAAGUCCUCAUGGCCCUUAUAGGUGGGGCUACACACGUCAUACAAUGGCCGGUACAAAGGGCAGCGAAGCCGCGAGGUGAAGCCAAUCCCAUAAAGCCGGUCGUAGUCCGGAUUGCAGGCUGCAACUCGCCUGCAUGAAGUCGGAAUCGCUAGUAAUCGUGGAUCAGCAUGUCACGGUGAAUACGUUCCCGGGUCUUGUACACACCGCC